CACCCAGGAGGAUGUGCGGGGAGGCCCGCCCGCAUGGGGAGAGGGCCAGGCUUUGAACAUGAAGUUGAUCACAUGCAAAUAGCAUGCAAAUAUAUGCAAGCUGGCUUGGGCUGCGGGGCCCACCUCUCUGCCGUCCUCCCUCCUGGGUGAGGGCUGGGGCGGGUUUGCAUCCGGUUCCGCUUGGUGCCUAGGGUGCCUGGGCUCUACUUCAACCUGCCAGUAACGGAGUGAGGGUGGGGCAGUUCUCCACACCACCCUGCCCAAGAGAUGUGACCUAAGAGGACAUGGAGGUACUGGGUGGCAGGAGAGGCGGCUGACCCGCUGAGCAAGGAGUCCCUGUGGCUUGUGAUUUGUGCCUGGUGUCCUCACGAAAAGGUGAAGGAGUGUGUGCCCAGGAUUCUGACAUUCCCUCCUCCCCUGAAGGCUGGGGAGCAGCUGAACACACGUGGCAGACAGGACUCCCAGACCUGGCACGUUGUUUUCGACACAAUGUCUCAUAAAUAACAACUCACUGUGUAGCUGAGGAUGACCUUGACUGCCUCCACCACUCAAGUGCUGGAUUUCAGGUGUGUGCCACUAUGCCCACUCUGCUAUUUUCUUCCUUUCUUGCUGGGGGUAGAACCCAGGACCUGGGAUCUGCUAAGUCAGGACUCCCCUCAGGGUACCAUCCCAGCCCUGCACAGGGAUUCACUGAGCAUAUACUAGGCAAAAGGCCUGGCUGUGCCCUGAGAGAAGCAAGUGCCAACAUCCAGGAACACACGGGGUGGCAAAGCCAUGAGCCCUAAAGCACCAACAGACACACUGAACUAUGGGUUGGUUCCAGCCUCGUACAGGCAAAGAACCUUCCAAUAGGGGAGAAUUGGGCAUUGGGGUUUGGGGCAUGGGAAGAAUUCCAGGCAAGGGACAAGAGUGGUGUGGCACUGGGCCAUGAGAAAGAAAGGCCAAGGUGGGGAGGGCUGAGAGGGAGGUGAGUCCUGCUGGAAGCACUUUUGUGGUAUCAGGUGUGGGAGGAGACUCAACAGUGAUUAGCUACUGUUGCUGGCUUCCUGAAGACUGUUCUGUACGCUGUGGAAUAGAGUUGCUCAGCUCAGUGGCAGGAGACAUUCUCAGUCUGCAAAAUCGAAAUCUAACAUCCAUUUUUCUCACUCCAAGACCUGGGGGGUCUAUAGGUCAGGCUGGUGCCAUACUUGUGACCCUCUUGCCUCAGUCUCCCGAGUGCUGAUAUUAUAGGUGCAUCAACCCAUACGGUAAGGGGGGGCAUUUUAUGUGCCUGAUAAUUCUUCCUUAUUGCCUCUGUCUCUCUUUCUGUCAUCUCUGUCUGUCUGUCUGCCUGCCUGCAUGUGUGCGUGUGUGCGUGCGUGUGUGCGUGCAUGCAUUCGUGAGUGUGUGUGUGUGUGUGUGUGUGUGUGUGUGUGUGUGUGUGUGUGUACACUAACAUGGAAUCCAGGACUUUGUGCAUGCUAAUUUGCAGUUAACCACUGAGCUAUACCCUGCCCUCCUUCAUCUUUACUGCGAGCCCUUCUUUUUUCUGAUCUUUCAUCCAAUCUUCUCCUGACCUUUGAUGACUGAAAGGCACUUUGCAGCCCAGACUCCGAGUCCCAAAUCUUACCAGGCAGGCUGUGGUCUCUGAUGAACUCUCCAGGGAUGAGUUGGUUAGUAUUAUUGUGUGCUCAGCCCCAGCAUCUGCCUAUAGGCCUGCCUGUAGCCAUAGCAACAAUGACUAACCCUCCAGCCCCUCUGAGCCAGGUCUUAAUAAAACACCGUGUUGGUUAAUUUAUCACGAAAGAGAUAAAUUUCAAGGAUUGUCCCAUUUUACAGCUGGGGUAACCGAGGCAUAGAGAUGUGAAGUAACAUGCUUGAGGUCCCAUUAGUAAACGGAGAAUGUGACUGCAGAUCUAGCCCUGGCUUGGGGCCAUCAUCUUUCAUUCUGUUUGUUCAUGUACUACCCGGCUGGGAGAGAGGGGCUCAGAGCGUGGACAGAAGCUCUAGGAAGUCCUUUGGAGUUCCACAGGGAAGUGGCCAGGUGACACCUGGUACCCAGUAGGCAAAAAACGAGGCCUGCAAUCUUAGCUUUGUGCAGCCUGAGGUCCUUGGCAGGGGAAGGGCUUGCUUGGCUUGGAAAUCUUAGCAAGGCGAAACUAGCUCAUCCAGAGGCCGAUAGAUGGCGCUCGUGGCCCAACACAGCCCCUGCACCCUGCUGAAACCUGAAAGAAACAAGAAAGCAAGUUAACCCUUCAGAACACAGGAGGGCAGAGUAGCUGCUGCUAGGCCUCAGAGGCGGCUCCACAGCCCAGGGCUAGAGCUAUCCCUUGGCCACAGCCAGGAUCUUCUGUCUCCCCUGCCUCACAAGACCAUCAAGCACUGUCAGCC
RNAcentral lists this long non-coding RNA (2370 nucleotides) under Cricetulus griseus (Chinese hamster). RNAcentral describes it as "lncRNA (ENSCGRG00015036665.1)". The record is from RNAcentral. Lineage: Eukaryota; Metazoa; Chordata; Mammalia; Rodentia; Cricetidae.